CGUCUUGCCACAUGCUGAUUUCUGCAGUGCUGCGUAUGGUGCACUUUGUAGCAAAGCAAUGCAAUGGCUUCUGUACUGCUAGUGAAGAUAGCUGUGGUGAAUCAAGCUGAUUGGAUUUUAAGUUGAUAAAUCUCAGGCACAAACAUCAGUGCAGACCAAGAGAGGCUUCUCCUUCACUUGCCCCUCUGUAGCGUUGGCAUGAAGAUGAUGCCUGACGUGACGUCUAAAUGCAAUGAGAGGGCAGUGGAGCAAGCUCCUGAGGAGCCCGCAUUUGUCCAGCCUUGUGGACUGUGCACAGAUGGCUGUGGCAAUCAUCCCUCGAGCACAGCCAGUUAGUUGACUGAAGUCAUUCUACAGCCAAAAUCCAGUCGGGAGACUAUUAGCUUCUGGCCUACAAAAUAUUUGCAUUGAGACUUCAAUUGCUGUUUAAUUUUCCUGCAGCUGGCAGCUCCUAUUGUUGAUGAAGGCUCUGUGAAAUCAUUAAGGAAAAGAUGAUGAAUGUGUUUAUAUUUACUAAAACAGAUCAAUAGAGAGGGUGUGUAGAGUCAUAAACACUCUUACCUGAAUUCUGUGCCUUUGGUUCAUCUUGAAUUCCAAAGUGAUUGAGCAAAGUUGGGCAAGCCUCCUUGCAUCCUGUGUAAAUCUUGACCCCCUCAGAACCACAGGCAGAAUACAGGAAUCCUAAAGGCCAAAAUUAUUUUGCUAAUACUUGAAUUGCCCAUUGGGAAAGCGUAUCAGAUUCUCCUUCUGAAAUGGACUUUAAAACAGGAUAGCUGCUUUUAAUGUGUCUCAGAUAAUAAGAAUCUGAGCUAAAGAUCCAAAAUUUGAAGGAAUUCAGUCCGUGCAGAAACAGGUGCCAUCAGCAUUGAUUUCCUAAGCUGCUGUUCAGUGAGUGGUUCUUUGCAGCCAUCCUACCUGAACAGGUAGUAUGAAUCUAGCUUCUUCCAUUUCUUUGUCUCUUCCACAGAUGUGGUAUAAAAUAAAAUAUCAUAGGCAAUAGAAUCACUCUUGAGAGGCCCUUAUUGCAAUGGAAGACAACAGAGUUUGCUAUGAUAAAUACAACCAUCUUGAUAAGUGACUUAUAGUACGGUGAACUUGUCCAGCUUGUACGUUUAUGGUGCUUGAGGCAAAUCUUACUGCUCUUCUUUAACCUGUGGCUGGGUUUCUUGAACAGAGCUGGGUUUAGACAUCCUGAUCUAUAUAGUAUGCAACUCCCUCAGUACAGCAUAAGGUAUUCUUUUUUAAAUAAAGCCUAUCUGUCUUACUUCCCCAUAGAGAGCAGCUGCAUGGUUCAUCAAAUCGUUCCACCUUUUCCGAAGCAUGAGUUGGAUCUCAGGAUGUGUUUGAAUAUGAGCCAUGAAGUCAAGAAUUUAGAAAAAACAUGAAAUUUUAUUAAGGUGCAGGCAGAUGGCCAGCCCUGGCCUAAGGUUAAACUGAGGGGGUAACAGCCUGAGCAACUGCCACACAGAGCAGACAACACGCAAAAGUAGCUGGCCAACCCUGACCUGGGGCUAACCUAACAAAGGGAGAGGUAACCAGACAAAAGGGGUGAGAGGGGAGCGUCAGACCUCCCUUGGAUGGAGAGUGCCUGAGGGUAGGUAGUGAGGGCGGGUACUGGCUUACUGGGAUUGCUGACCAAGGCUACAAUUACUGAAUAAGACUGUAAAAUCAGCAAAAUUUGGGCCUAUGGGGAAAGAGAAAAACUGGGGUGGGUUGUUUAAAUAGGAGGGGGAAAAUGAGGGUAAAAGGAAAUGUAAGGCAAAGCAAACCACGUCAUCGAGGAUGCGCCUCAUCAACGCAGCCAGGAGCAGGACAAUAAAACUGUUCUGACGAUACCAGUGGGUCUGCCUUGCUUCUGCGGUCAGGGAGAUGGGGGUGCUCUCCUGAAUGCCAGUGGUUCCACACCUUGGUUAGGGUGGAAGACAGACUGACCCAUCUCCCUAACAAUAUUUGCAGUAAGUGUGGCUCAAAUUAUCAUCUCAGCUCAUCUGAAUCUCAGAGAGAACCUUCUGAGGAAUCUCGUAUGUAUCCAUAUCAGCCUGCAGAGUCUCUAGCAAGAAAUGACUUGAAGAACAUCAAGAAGUGCACUCUCCUCCCACCUCUCAGGGUAAACUGCCUAUAGGCCUUUUUUCCAAGAGCUACUACUGGAAGUACCUUUUUUAAUUGAGGCAGUAAAUCUCGCCACAGCCCCAACCAAUCUCGGGAGCUCAUUUCAGCAAGCUGAGAUACCAUUUGCAUGUGUCCAAUCCCUUUGUUUUUACGCUAACUUCUUUUUGAAGAGCAGUGUAUGAAAUGUGUUUUCUGGAGAGAGAUGUUCUCUGACCAGAUGGUCUGCUGUUCUGCGUAGCUCCUGUUUUCCCUAGGCUGUAGCAGAGAGUUCUCCAUUUUAUAAGCUGGCCACUUAACUCUGCUGGGAGAGGUCAAUAGCUUUCUCCUCCCUGUCUUCCCAACUUCUUUUUUUUUUUUUUUCCUUUGAACACUUUCCAAUCUUUUUGUCUUCUUACCUAUCUCUGAUAAUUCUGUUUCUGUCAGGGUCCCCUCUGUACCACACAUCAUCUUUGACUUGUUUGCUGCUUGGCUUCAGUCUCUAGAUUCUAUCAAUUUAGAUGGGAACCUGAUCAUAAAUGAGGGUAUUUUGUGUCCCAUGCAAGGCCAAGCACAGUGCAUGCUGAUAAUACGCGUAACUGUGAGAACCUUGUGCCUCAUUUUCACAGCCAUCACAACUCCCAGAAAGCGGGAAAUCAGCUGUGCACAGUGAAAGGACAAUGCAGAGUUUGCUCUGGCAAGACAAAGUGUUCAGACCACGUAGCAGAUAGGCCCAAGGUCUGUGCGUGGCAUGGUAUCACCUGUCCUCCAGGGAAGGACACUAAGCACAACAUUGAGAGAGAUUUGAAGCUGAUUUUGCAGGCUGGACUGACAAAACAGAGCACUGCUAGCAACAGAGAGGAAAGGAAGACGUGAGAAAAGGAGAAGAGGAAGAGAAGAGAAAGCCUUUUCCUCUGCUCAUAUUCGCACUGUGGAAGCUGCAGUAUGUGGUGCCUCCUUAAGCCCGUAAAUGUACUCUGAACUGGUCAUCACUGGAGCGCACCUGGUAGUGCUGCAGAGAGUGGAGGGGAACCAUGAUGAUAACAGUGGAAUGACCUUAUUCCUUUCCCCUAUCUCUCUCUUUAAAGACUCAAUAACAAUCUAUGGGCCAUGCUAAACAGCUGAGAAGGGUCCAGUCAGCUGGGUGCACCUCUGUCUCUGCUCAUCUGUGCAUGAUCUAUGUUGUAAACAAUUUCCUGCACUCACAGAAUUGUGUCUCCUUGGCAUACCUAGGCAUUCAGUCCAACUAGGAGCUGCCCCUUGCCAGAAAGAACUACAGCAUUCCCAUGCAGCAGGGAUACAUGUCACAGGACCUGUCACUGCACCUCAGUGCUACAAGAAGCCGCACCAAAUCCAAACCCUAAAUGGGGAAACUACUUGAAAGAUGGAAGAAAACUUUUACAUCAGGAAUGACUCAGGGCUUUGGUGCAGUGAUCCAGGUCCAGUUAUGGCUGCCCUCCCCCCGAGUAGAGGAGAGAUGUCAAUAAACUGAAGCAGGUCCAGUGGAAGUGAUGAAGCUGGUUGGGUCUGAAGCACAGGUCAUACAACAAGAGGGUGAUGGCAAAGGAGGAUCUACUGCAGUCAUCCAGCACCUAAAGGGAGGUAUAAAGAAGAUGGAGUUCAGAGGUACUCUGUGAAAGGAUGAGAGACAACAGAUGUGAGUCGCAAAUUGGGAAAUUACAGUUGGAUGUAAGGAAAAAAUUCUGCUUCCUGAGAGGUGCAGCCCUGAGACAGAGACCAGAAAGCAGAGUGCUGAGCAGCACCUCUGCUCAGGUCUCCAUCCUUCCAGGCUGCCUGCAGGCUCACUCUUGCACCUGGAUGAUAUGCGAAGAUUGUCCCAUUCUUAGAGCUCAAGAAGUGUCAAACAGCACUUGGGAGAGGAAGAAGAUAAGGAAAGUGAAGAGCAACCGUUUUCCAGCAUGCACUCCUCGCUCCAGCAACCAGACACUCCCUUAGCCUGGCGGAUAGGGAUGGUGCAGCAGCCUGGACACACAUGGCAGACAGCCACCUGGCCCACACAGGAGCUGAAAUCAGGUGGCAGCUGCUUGCUCUGCAGAGGUGGCUCAGGCAGCACACCUCCAUGCAGUUAUGGAAGGCACCUCUCUCUGCACCAGGCUUGGUCCAGUCCAGGGAAUGGUUGUGGCCUUGCCAAGAAGAAGGGAUUUGAGACCCAGCAAGUCUGUCACCUGCUGAGUAGGUCUGCAGCUUCCCAAGUGGGGAACUUGGGAUCUCCAUGGGAUCUGCCUCUGCCUGAUGCCAGCACUACUCAUCUAGGAUACGAAACAACCUGGGCUGGACCCAGAGACACACUGCAGAAAGCAAAGGGACAAGAUGGGAGCCUGAAGAAAUAUGCAACUCCCUAAGGCCAUUUUUCUCUAGUUACUCUCAUCCCUGGCUGGAGGAAGGCGCGCUCUGAGUGGCAUAGUAAUAUUUACACCUUGUACCAGGGCUAGCAGGAGUAGGACUGGGUGCAGGGCCAGGGGCCAAACCAGUGUCCUGCAGGAAUGCUGAGAUAGCAUAGGUUCAAGAAGGGCUGAGGACACUGCAAGCAGUUCCUGAGUGUGAGUAAAGAGAACCCUGUAAGGUAACGCAGCCAUGCUCCCCUGGAAAACCAUUAUUGCGUGGAAGGGGGCAAUGGGACUGGGCUGCAGCUGGCCUGAUGCCCUUUAAAAUUAAGCUUUAAUUAAGAAACAGCAGGAAGAGGCUAAAAAAAGCCCCACAAAACAUGCAAGUGUGCACCCCCAAAGAUGUGAUCUGUUCCCCUAAAUGCAGGAGGAGGAUACCUCGUGAGACGAGUGCUAGGCAACUGUCCACACCUUGCUCUGCAACGUGGAAAUGCAGCAGCUCUCUGUAUGUGCCUCCCUCUCCUGUUAGCAGGAGCAAGUCACCUCCCUUCAGGGCAGGGACAGGCUUGGGACUGGCACUUUUGGAAGCAGCCCAGCUUGGGCUGAAGGCUUGGCCAGGCUUGUAAGGAAGGUGGGGGAAGGUAAAUCAGACACCCACCUUAGGGACAGAAAUGUCCUCACACUAAACCCCCCUCCCUUGGGACCCCAACAGAGCAGUCCUGCACUGGCAUGAGUUUGACAGGUCUUCCUUACACCCAGCACUUCCACGGUCGCUGGCCCCAUCAGGCAGCAGGGAAGGGUUAAGAGCUGCAGCCUGGAGGGACUUUGCACCCAAAUUUGGGGUUUUGCAAGAAGUUGUCACAAAAGGCUGAGCGGAGACAGAAAUAUUUCCAUGAUGUAUCCCAUUCGUUUGUAAUUCCAAAUGAAACGGUUUCCUUUUAAACAAACAAACUGUUCCCUGCAGCACUAGCAGUCGGACACACACCACAGAGCUAGGCCGGUGCUGGUGAGCAGUGUGAACUGGACAGGUCACAGCACCCAUCGAGAGCUUUACGUUGGGGCAUAGUUGAGCUGAAGGAGCUUGGGUGCACUAGAGUACCUGUCCCAGGGCUGCAAGCAGGGAGCAGAGGGGAUGCCUGGCCCCGCCUUCCUUGGCACAGGCAGGACACUUGCACCCCUCGCCCCUGGUCCCCAGGCGGUUGUCCCCUGCACCAGAGCUGCCAAGCAGCUCAGCCCUCCAUGAGCACACCAGGAAGCAGGAGGGAUGCUGUCUAGGGAGCAUCUGACAGACCCAAGCUGUGCUCCCACAGACAUUUGCUCUGGCGCUGGGGCCAGGGCCCUUGCCACAACCACCUUCCUGCCUGCAGCCAGGCAUCCCCUGGCUCAGAUCCUCCCUGCUCCUGCUCACUCUCUACUCUCUGGGUUGGACCUCCCCACCUGGC
Struthio camelus australis is the source of this 5872-nucleotide non-coding RNA. The record is from RefSeq and is a predicted model, not a curated record. NCBI's taxonomy places the organism in Eukaryota, Metazoa, Chordata, Aves, Struthioniformes, Struthionidae.